Molecule: long non-coding RNA, 238 nt
Organism: Carassius auratus (goldfish)
Lineage: Eukaryota; Metazoa; Chordata; Actinopteri; Cypriniformes; Cyprinidae
Exons: 3
Source: RefSeq, a predicted model, not a curated record
GGCCAGCUGCAGCAGCCAGACAGGCGUUAAAGCAGGUUGGAAGAGAGUCGUCGUGAAAGACCCAGAGUACGCUGGGACAGUAGCAGGCGGUUAUGAAGCAGACGAGGAGGGGGAAGAGUCGAGGCCACAGGAGGAACGUUACGUUGCUAUCAGAGCCAACUGAAGCCGAACUUUGGUGCUUUAAGGACUAUGCCUUUGGUUUGGAGAUGUCUCUGCUUUCUUUAAGACACUUUGUUUG